AUUGAACGCUGGCGGCAGGCCUAACACAUGCAAGUCGAACGGUAACAGGAAGAAGCUUGCUUCUUUGCUGACGAGUGGCGGACGGGUGAGUAAUGUCUGGGAAACUGCCUGAUGGAGGGGGAUAACUACUGGAAACGGUAGCUAAUACCGCAUAAUGUCGCAAGACCAAAGAGGGGGACCUUCGGGCCUCUUGCCAUCGGAUGUGCCCAGAUGGGAUUAGCUAGUAGGUGGGGUAUCGGCUCACCUAGGCGACGAUCCCUAGCUGGUCUGAGAGGAUGACCAGCCACACUGGAACUGAGACACGGUCCAGACUCCUACGGGAGGCAGCAGUGGGGAAUAUUGCACAAUGGGCGCAAGCCUGAUGCAGCUAUGCCGCGUGUAUGAAGAAGGCCUUCGGGUUGUAAAGUACUUUCAGCGGGGAGGAAGGGAGUAAAGUUAAUACCUUUGCUCAUUGACGUUACCCGCAGAAGAAGCACCGGCUAACUCCGUG
RNAcentral lists this ribosomal RNA (490 nucleotides) under uncultured bacterium. RNAcentral describes it as "partial 16S ribosomal RNA". It matches the Rfam family "Bacterial small subunit ribosomal RNA", at positions 30 to 507 of the family's 1533-position model. The record is from RNAcentral.